AGUGAACGCUGGCGGUAGGCCUAACACAUGCAAGUCGAACGGCAGCACAGUAAGAGCUUGCUCUUACGGGUGGCGAGUGGCGGACGGGUGAGGAAUACAUCGGAAUCUACUUUUUCGUGGGGGAUAACGUAGGGAAACUUACGCUAAUACCGCAUACGACCUACGGGUGAAAGCAGGGGAUCUUCGGACCUUGCGCGAUUGAAUGAGCCGAUGUCGGAUUAGCUAGUUGGCGGGGUAAAGGCCCACCAAGGCGACGAUCCGUAGCUGGUCUGAGAGGAUGAUCAGCCACACUGGAACUGAGACACGGUCCAGACUCCUACGGGAGGCAGCAGUGGGGAAUAUUGGACAAUGGGCGCAAGCCUGAUCCAGCCAUACCGCGUGGGCGAAGAAGGCCUUCGGGUUGUAAAGCCCUUUUGUUGGGAAAGAAAAGCAGCAGGUUAAUACCCCGCUGUUCUGACGGUACCCAAAGAAUAAGCACCGGCUAACUGCGU
RNAcentral lists this ribosomal RNA (491 nucleotides) under uncultured bacterium. RNAcentral's name for it is "partial 16S ribosomal RNA". It matches the Rfam family "Bacterial small subunit ribosomal RNA", at positions 29 to 506 of the family's 1533-position model. The record is from RNAcentral.